RNAcentral lists this ribosomal RNA (250 nucleotides) under uncultured bacterium. Its description in RNAcentral is "partial 16S ribosomal RNA". It matches the Rfam family "Bacterial small subunit ribosomal RNA", at positions 524 to 772 of the family's 1533-position model. The record is from RNAcentral.
GACGUAGGGGGCGAGCGUUGUCCGGAUUUACUGGGCGUAAAGAGCGCGUAGGCGGCCUAUUAAGUCAGGUGUGAAAUCUCCAGGGCUCAACCCGGAAACUGCACUUGAUACUGGUAGGCUGGAGUGUCGGAGAGGUGAUUGGAAUUCCUGGUGUAGCGGUGACAUGCAUUGAUAUCAGGAGGAACACCCAUGGCGAAGGCAGAUCACUGGCCGACAACUGACGCUGAGGCGCGAAAGCGUGGGUAGCAAA